UGGGGAAUAUUGCACAAUGGGCGCAAGCCUGAUGCAGCAACGCCGCGUUAACGAUGAAGGUCUUCGGAUCGUAAAGUUCUGUUGCAGGGGAAGAUAAUGACGGUACCCUGUGAGGAAGCCCCGGCUAACUACGUGCCAGCAGCCGCGGUAAUACGUAGGGGGCUAGCGUUAUCCGGAUUUACUGGGCGUAAAGGGUGCGUAGGUGGUCUUUCAAGUCGGUGGUUAACGGCUACUGCUCAACCGUAGUUAGCCUCCGAAACUGGAAGACUUGAGUGCAGGAGAGGAAAGUGGAAUUCCCAGUGUAGCGGUGAACUGCGUAGAUAUUGGGAGGAACACCAGUAGCGAAAGCGGCUUUCUAGACUGCAACUGACACUGGGGCACGAAAGCGUGAGUAGCAAACAGG
Molecule: ribosomal RNA, 403 nt
Filed under: Verrucomicrobiota bacterium
Lineage: Bacteria; Pseudomonadati; Verrucomicrobiota
Description: Verrucomicrobia bacterium partial 16S ribosomal RNA
Rfam family: Bacterial small subunit ribosomal RNA
Source: RNAcentral